UACGGAGGGUGCGAGCGUUGUUCGGAAUCACUGGGCGUAAAGCGCGUGUAGGCGGCCCAUUAAGUCUGAUGUGAAAGCCCGGGGCUCACCCCCGGAAGUGCAUUGGAAACUGAUGGGCUCGAGUCCCGGAGAGGAGGGUGGAAUUCCUGGUGUAGCAGUGAAAUGCGUAGAGAUGUGGAGGAACACCGAUGGCGAAGGCAGCCCCCUGGGCCGACACUGACGCUCAUGCACGAAAGCGUGGGGAGCAAACAGG
Molecule: ribosomal RNA, 253 nt
Filed under: uncultured bacterium
Lineage: Bacteria
Description: partial 16S ribosomal RNA
Rfam family: Bacterial small subunit ribosomal RNA
Source: RNAcentral